This 507-nucleotide ribosomal RNA is filed under the name uncultured glomeraceous AM fungus. RNAcentral describes it as "SSU rRNA". It matches the Rfam family "Eukaryotic small subunit ribosomal RNA", at positions 569 to 1076 of the family's 1831-position model. The record is from RNAcentral. Lineage: Eukaryota; Fungi; Glomeromycota; Glomeromycetes; Glomerales; Glomeraceae.
AGCAGCCGCGGUAAUUCCAGCUCCAAUAGCGUAUAUUAAAGUUGUUGCAGUUAAAAAGCUCGUAGUUGAAUUUCGGGAUCAAUGUUUCGGUCAUGCCCUUGGUAUGUACUGAUAUUAUUGGUUUCUCACCUUCUAAAGAACCGUAAUGCCAUUAAUUUGGUGUCACGGGGAAUUAGGACUGUUACCUUGAAAAAAUUAGAGUGUUUAAAGCAGGCUCACGCUUGAAUACAUUAGCAUGGAAUAAUGAAAUAGGACAUCCGAUUCUAUUUUGUUGGUUUCUAGGAUCGAUGUAAUGAUUAAUAGGGAUAGUUGGGGGCAUUAGUAUUCAAUUGUCAGAGGUGAAAUUCUUGGAUUUAUUGAAGACUAACUACUGCGAAAGCAUUUGCCAAGGAUGUUUUCAUUAAUCAAGAACGAAAGUUAGGGGAUCGAAGACGAUCAGAUACCGUCGUAGUCUUAACCAUAAACUAUGCCGACUAGGGAUCGGAUGAUGUUAAUUUUUUAAUGACU